GUCUACAGCCAUGAACGAGCCCGAUCCCAUCUGAUCUCAGAAUCUAAGCAGGGUCAGGUCUGGUUAAUACUUGGAUGGGAGACCACCUAGGAAGACUAGGUGCUGUAGGCA
RNAcentral lists this ribosomal RNA (111 nucleotides) under Pteropus alecto (black flying fox). Lineage: Eukaryota; Metazoa; Chordata; Mammalia; Chiroptera; Pteropodidae. The record is from RNAcentral.